UACAGAGGGUGCGAGCGUUAAUCGGAGUUACUGGGCGUAAAGGGCGCGUAGGCGGUAAGAUGGGUGUGAUGUGAAAGCCCCGGGCUUAACCUGGGAAGGGCAUAGCAAACUAUCUAACUGGAGUAGAUGAGAGGGUGGCGGAAUUUCCGGUGUAGCGGUGAAAUGCGUAGAGAUCGGAAGGAACGUCGAUGGCGAAGGCAGCCACCUGGCAUCAUACUGACGCUGAGGCGCGAAAGCGUGGGUAGCGAACAGG
This 253-nucleotide ribosomal RNA is filed under the name uncultured bacterium. Its description in RNAcentral is "partial 16S ribosomal RNA". It matches the Rfam family "Bacterial small subunit ribosomal RNA", at positions 524 to 776 of the family's 1533-position model. The record is from RNAcentral.